CUGUGAAACAAGAAAGUCAUUUUGUCUACGCUUGUGUCUGUGAGAGGAGAAGAGCAAGAUGAGUUUUCCAAGUGAGUGUUAUCAGUUCUUUAGGGGGUGGGGUGGAGAGAUGAGUCAUGAGUCACACCACAGGAAAACCUCCACAUUUCAGAGGCCGUUCCAGAAUGAAGAUGUUCAAGCAAUGCUGCAAUGAAGAUUAUGUAGGAUCCCUAACUCACCAACUGAAGCAUAUUGAGAACUGAUUAUUACUUCCCGGGUUUGCUGUCCUGCAGGUCCAGACAACUCUUACUGGCAUACUGAGUU
This 303-nucleotide long non-coding RNA is filed under the name Anas platyrhynchos platyrhynchos (common mallard). Its description in RNAcentral is "lncRNA (ENSAPLG00000022563.1)". Lineage: Eukaryota; Metazoa; Chordata; Aves; Anseriformes; Anatidae. The record is from RNAcentral.